Long non-coding RNA from Sarcophilus harrisii (Tasmanian devil), 5622 nucleotides. RefSeq lists it as uncharacterized. The transcript has 8 exons. The record is from RefSeq and is a predicted model, not a curated record. NCBI's taxonomy places the organism in Eukaryota, Metazoa, Chordata, Mammalia, Dasyuromorphia, Dasyuridae.
AAAGGUCUUUAAAAGAAUCAUUAUUAUUAAAACAAAAUAACCAUUAAAUUAUUACUAGCACUAUAAUAUGAAAAAAUAUCAAAAUCAAUUCUCAACAUUACUACAUCAGACAACAAGUUUCAUUAAUCACCCGGCAUAGAUAGUUAUUAUUAUCUCUCAUGUUGAUACAUUAACAGUUAAUAUAAACAUUUAACAGGUCUUUAAAAAAGAAUUAUUAUCAUUAAAAUAAAACAACCAUUAAAUUAUCACAAAUAAUAUUCAUCAUAUUAUGUCUAUAUAAUAUGAAAUAUCAAAUUAGAAUCUCAAGAUAUCCUACUUUAGACUGUAAGUUUCAGUACUGUUAUUAAAAUAAAAAAAUAAAUUAUCUCAAACUAAUUAUUGAGUAUGUUUAUAAGAUAUGAAAAAAUAUUAAAAAUCCCAAAAUAUUCUACCUCAGACUACAAGUUUCAGUAAUUAGCAGGCUUAGAUAUAGUUAUUAUUAUUUCUCUCAUGUUGAUGCAAUAACAGUUAAUGAACAAGGUUAAAGAGGUCUUUAAAAAGAAUAAUAAUUAUUAAAAUAAUACAACAAUGAACUUAUCACAAAUAAUAGUCAUAAUAGUAUGUCUACAUAAUAGUAUGUAUAUGUAAUAAGAAAUAAUGUAAAAUUAGAAUCCCAUGUUAUCCUAUCUCAGACAUCAAGUUUCAUUAAAUCACUGGGACCUGAUACUUUCUCUCAUGUUUAUAAAAUAAAAGUUAAUGAAAAUGUUCAACAGGUAUUUAAAAAAGAAUCAUUAUUAUUAAAAAUUAAACAAAUUAUCACAAUAUUAAUUAUAGUAUAUUUAUAUAAUAUGCAAUAAUAUGAAAUUAUAAUCCCACGAACUCCUAAAUCAGACAGCAAGUUUCACUAAUGACUUGGUCCAAAUAUAUUUAUUAUGAGUAUUUCUCACUUUGAUGCAGUAAUGGCAAAUGAAAAGUUUAAGUGGUCUUUUAAAAAAGUAAAUAUUAUUAAAAUAACUGAUAAUGAAGUAGAAGGAAAUGAACAAAACUGGAAGAACACUAUAUUUAGGACCAGCAAUAUUUUAUAAUGAUCAAUUGUGAAUUACUUAUCAAUUCGGAGCAACACAGUGAUUCCAAAUAAUUUUAAAGGUCUUAGGAUGAAAAAUGCUUUCCAUUUCUGGAGAAAAAAUGAUGAAAUCUAAAUACAGAAGAAGGCACUUUUUCUUUGCUUUCUUUUCCUUGUGUUUUUGGUCUGUGUUGUCUUUCAUGGCAUGCCUUCCAUGGAAAUGUUGUGCAAAAUGCACAUGUACAAUCAUUAUAAAAAGUGUUGCCUUCCUAAAAAGAAAUGGGGAGGAGGGAAGAUGUGAGAGUAUUUGGAACUCCACAUAUGAAAAAUAAAGACAGAAUGUUAAAAUAGUUUUGAUAUAUAACUGGGAAAAAAUAAAAUAUUAAAUUAAGUUAACAAAAAAGAAAUCUCAGUGGAAGUCCAUGGAGCAUGAUGAAAAGAUACCUGCCUCUCCUCUUUUCUUCUCUCUACUUCCAUUUAGUGGCUAGAGAUCAGGCAGGAGACAGGCAGGACACAAUCGAAAACUGCCACCUCUCCUCUUAGAAGCUGGAGACCAGGGAGGAGUCUCACAAAAAUGAGGGAAGAGAAUCAAGGAGCAUUAUGGAAGGAACCUCCACUCCUGUUUUCUUCUCUUCUUUGAUCCUUGGAAGCUGCAUGUCAGGCAGGAGAUAUGCAGGGCAUAAUGGAAGGGGCCCAUCAUUUCUCUUGUCUCUGCCAGUGGAUGCUGGAGACCAGAAAGGAGACUAAUAGCGGUCAGGAAGAAUGCAUCCAAAGAACAAGGGAAGGCGCCCCCUCUCCUCUUGGAUCCAGAGGCUGGGGACCAGACAGCAGAUUCCUAGAGUUCAGACAGGGUAGAUGUGGGGCACAAUGGGGCUUCUGCUGCUUCUUUCUCUCCUUCUCAAUACUUUCCUGCAGAGAAGGAAGAUGGCUCAGGAAGAUGAGGAAGAAAAUGCACUGGCAUGGUGGAAGGCACCUGUACCUCUUCUUUCCUUCUCUCCUCUUCCCUUUGGAGACUAAAGAUCACAAAAAAGACAGAAAUAAUACAAUGGAACCCGUAGCCUCUCCUUGUUGAUCCAGAAGCUGUGGAAAUCAGAAAGGAGAGGCAUGGAAUGUGAUGGAGAACCCCCUUCUUCCCACUUCCACUGGUAUCUGGAGACCAGGCAGGAGACUCAUGGAAACUAGGGGGAGACACAUAGAACAUAAUGAAAAGUGCCUGCCUCUCCUCCUCAAUCCUUAUCUCCUCUUCUCCUUUCUCCUCUUCCAUUUGGAGAAUGGAAAUUAGGCAGGAAAUAGGCAAGGCACAAUGGAAAGUGCCCACCAGUUCUCGUCAAUACACAGGCUAGAGAUCAGGCAGAAGACAAACAUGUUACGAUAGAACACCACUUCUUGUUGAUACAGAGAUUAGAGAAUAAGCAUGAGACUUGUGGAGAUCAGGAAGGAAAUGCACAGGGCACUAUGGAAGAAAUCUACUUCUCUUCUCUCUCUGAUCAGAGGCAGGAAACCAUGCAAAAGAAUCAUGAAAAUCAGGCAGGAAACUCACAGAAAAUAUCUAGGUGUCUUCUUUCCUUCUCUCAUCUUUCCUCUGAAGACUGGGGAUCAGGCAGAAGACAGACCUGGCUCAAUGGAAGCUGCCCAUCUCUCCCUUUUUGAUCCAGAGGCUAGAGACCAGACAGGAAGCUUGUGGAAAUUAGGAUGGAGAAGCACAUGGCAGGAUGGAACAGACCCAGCUUUUUUCACUGCCAAGGAAGGCUGGAGACCCAUCAGUAGACUCAUGGGCAUCAGGGAGGAGGUAAAUGGGAAUGAUGAAAUGUGCCCAUCUGUUCUCUUCUCUCUUUUCCUCUUACCUGCAGAGGCUGGAGAUCAGACCAGAGAAAGAUGGAAUCAACUGGAAGGCACUUGCCUCUCCUCUUCCCAUUUCAACUAGAGGCUAGAAUCCAAGCAGGAGACACAUAAAAAUCAAUCAGGAGACUCCUGGUUCACUCUGGAAGGCACUGCCACUUCUCCCCUCCUUUUCUGUCAGCUUCCCUCUGGAGGCUGGAGAUGAGGCAGGAGUCAAGAAGGGCACUGUGAAGGGCACACAUCUCUCUGCCAUCCACAGGCUGAUGGUCAAGAAAGAGAUGCUCUGGAUGGAAUGGAAGGCUCCCACUUUUCCUCUGAUUCAGAAAGCGGAUCUCAUGUAGGAAAUUCAUUGAGAUCAGGCAGGAGAUAGGGCUGGGUGAAAACCAUUCUCUCACCUUCUUCCUUUCACUACAGGCUAGAGACCAUGGAGCAAUCUUAUGGAAAACAGAAGGAGAUGCAGAAGCAUGAAGUAAGAGAAUGAAGAAGACUCAGAAAGAUGAGGAAGGAAAUGCACUGGCAUGAUGGAAGGCAACUGCACCUCUUCUUUUCACAUAUGAGAGAUGGAAGAUCAGGUAAAGGAUUCAUGAAGAUCAAGCGGGAGACUCAUGGAAAUCCAAGAGGCGACCCAUGGAGAAUGAUGAAGGGCACCUGCCUCUCCUCUUCCCUCCUGAGGCAGAAAUUCAGGCCAUGGAGAAGUCUUAUGGGAAAACAGGCAGGAGAUGCAAGAGCAUGAAGUAAGAGAAUGAAGAAGACUCAGAAAGAUGAGGAGGAAAUGCACCUCUUCUUCUCAUGCAUGAGAGAUGGGAGAUCAGGUAAAGGAUUCAUGAAGAUCAAGCGGGAGACUCAUGGAAAUCCAAGAGGAGACCCAUGAAGAAUGAUGAAGGGCACCUGCCUCUCCUCUUCCCUCCUGAGGCAGAAAUUCAGAGAUCAGGCAGAGAACACACAGGACAGAAUGGAAAGCUGCCACCUCUGCUCUUUGAUUUAGUCUGAAGAUUUGGCUGGAAACUCCUGGAGAACUGUAAGUAGGAAAAUGGGGCAUGAUAGCAGGUAUCCCACUUCUCUUCUCACUUCUAUCAGAGGCUGGAGACCAUUAAAUAUCCUUAUGGAGAUCAGGCAAAUGAUGCACAGGAAACAGCGGAGAAUGCCAAUUUUUCUUCUUUUCACUUUCAUUAUUAAUUCCAACAAAGGAUUCUUGUAAAAACCAAUGAAUUGUGCCUACUUCUCUUCUAAUUUCUAGAGGCUGGAGACCAGAUCAGAGAUUCCUAGAGCUCAGACAGGAUAAAUGUGGAGCAUAAGGAGGUCUCUGCUUCUCCUUUCUCUUCCUCUCCUCUCUUUGUCCCUGCUAAGUUUGAAAACCAAGUAAAAGACUCAUGGAGUUUCUUUGAUUCAGAAAGUGGAACUCAUUUAGGACACUCAUUGAGAUCAGGCAGGAGAUAAACAGGGCCUGAUGAAAGCCAUUCUCUCAUCUUCUGUCUUUCACUAAAGGCUAGCACCAUGUUUUAUGUCCAGUGAAAAAAGAUCUGGUAGGAGCCUCAUGGAAUCGAGUGGAAGGUGCUCACCUCUUCUGUUAGAGCCAGAAGCUUGAGAACAGAAGGAAAAUUCAGAGAGAUCAGAUAGAACACAUGCAGAAGCAUUCCCUUAGCCUUACUCCUCCUUUCCUCUACUUUUCCUUUUGGUGGCUGAAAAGCAAUUUGAAAACUCAUGGAGAUCAGGAAGAAGAGGAAUGGACAUGAGGGAAUUCUCAGUACUAGACAGGGGACUAGUUCAUUUUAGUGUGUAGGUCUAGACAAUUGUCAUUCAACAUGGGGCCCUGGAAAGGAGGGCACAAAGUAGCUCAGCUGACAAGAACAGUGCCAGAAAUGAGAGGAGAGAUGUUGGAGGGGAUUUCAGACAGUUAAGACACUAAUGCAUUGUUAGUGAAGUUGUAUACUGAUUCAUCCAUUCUGAAGGGCAAUUUGGAACUAUGCCCCAAGAGCUAUAAAACCAUGGGGGGAGAGCCAUGGAGUAUGAUAUAACUGCCUUUCUUCUCUGCUUCUCUUCUCUUCUCUUGAGAGUCUGAAGAUCCAGAAGAGGCUCAGCAGGACACAAUGGAAACUAUUGAUGCAGAGGCUAGAAAAUAGGUCCCUUAGAAGCUGGAUAUCAGGCAGGAGAUAUGUAGGAGAUAAAGGAAGGGGCCCAUCAUUUUUCACUCUCAGUGGAUGCUGGAGACCAGAAAGGAGAUUAAUAGCAGUCAGGAAGGAUGCAUGCAAAGAACAAGAAAAGGAAGAUGGCUCAGGAAGAUGAGGAAGAAAAUGCACUGGUAUGAUGGAAGGCACCUGUGCCUCUUCUUUUCACACAUGAGUGAUGGAAGAUCAAGUAAAGCAUUCAUGAAGAUCAAGCGGGAGAUGCAUGAAAAUCCAUGGAGAAUGAUGAAGGGCACCUGCCUCUCCUCUUUCCUCCUGAGGCAGAAAUUCAGGUGGAGAUGGGUGGUAACGAGACAUAUUCGCCUAGUCGAUCACACAGAGAUGGAGCAGACCCUUGAAAGGAAGGAUAAGACCCAAGAAAUAUCAUGUGGAUCUGUUGCUGAUUGUGUAGGACAUUGAAUCAAUGAAAUAGCAUGGAAGUUAUAGCAUUUCACUCAUGGACAUCGAAAAUUAUUGGACUUCAAAACCUUCAGGAAUCAUUGGAAUCUCUGAGACAUAAGACUGUUGUAGGACGUGAAAGCCCUCAGGAAUCAUUGGAAUCUCUAAGACAUAAUAAGA